GGGAAGUGACUGGUAGCAGGACUAUAUAAAUACUUAGUAACUAGGCUACAGUUGAAGUCAGAAGAUUACAUACACUUAGGUUGGAGUCAUUAAAAAUUGUUUUUGAACCACUCCACAAAUGUCUUGUUAACAAACUAUAGUUUGUGCCCUCUGCCCUUCUCCAUGGAGGAGAUGUUUGGGUUCAUUAGCUGCAGGUUCUCAGGAUACCCAGCCUCUGUGCAGGAGCAGGCUCUGCUCUGGCUGCAUGUGUCGUCUCCUUCAGACAUGAGCCGGUCGUCAGAGCAGAUGUUGAGCAGAAUCCCAGUGGAGAGAGGGGAACCGACCAGGCAGAGACAGCAGGGGCGGUUCGUUGCUCCAGAGCCUUUCUGUUCACCUUCCCACUCCUGGGCCAGACUACACUCAAUCAUAUGACCCACUGAAGAGCUGAGUCUACAGUAAAGACUUAAAGGUUGAGACCCAGUCUGCGUCUCUCACAUGGGAAGGCAGACCAUUCUAUAAAAAUGGAGCUCUAUAGGAGAAUGCCCUGCCUCCAGCUGUUUGCUCAGAAAUUCUAGGGACAAUUAGGUGGCCUGCAUCUUGUGGCCGUAGCGUACGUGUAGGUAUGUACGGCAGGACCAAAUCGGAAAGAUGGGUAGGAGCAAGCCCAUGUAAUGCUUUGUAGGUUAGCAGUAAAACCUUGAAAUCUGCCCUUGCCUUAACAGGAAGCCAGUGUAGGGUGGCUAGUGUUGGUGUUGUGCCUGGCCAUGCAGUCAUGAGUGAACAGGGAGUACAGGAGGGGACUGAGCAUGCACCCCUGAGGGGCCCCUGUGUUGAGGAUCAGCGUGGCAGAUGUGCUGUUACCUACCCUUACCACCUGGGCGCCGCCCGUCAGGAAGUCCAGAAUCCAGUUGCAGAGGGAGGUGUUUAGUCCCAGGGUCCUUAGCUUAGUAAUGAGUUUUGAGGGCACUAUGAGGUUGAACGUUGGGCUGUAGUAAAUUUAAUAGUUCUCACAUAGAUUUUCCUUUUGUCCAGGUGGGAAAGGGCAGUUUGGACUGCAAUAGAGAUGCAUCAUCUGUGGAUCUGUUUGGGUGGUAUGCAAAUGGUAGUGGGUCUAGGGUUUCUGGGAUAAUGGUGUUGAUGUGAGCCAUGACCAGCCUUUCAAAGCACUUUAUAGCUACAGACAUGAGUGCUACGGGUCGGUUGUCAUUUAAGCAGGUUACUUUGGUGUUCUUGAGCACAGGGACUAUGAUGGUCUGCUUGAAACAUGUUGGUAUUCCAGACUCUUGUGAGGAACAGGUUGAAAAUGUCAGCGAAGACAUGCCAGUUGGUCAACGCAUGCUCGGAGUACCUGUCCUGGUAAUCUGUCUGGCCCUGCGACCUUGUGAAUGUUAACCUGUUUUAAGGUCUUACAUCGGCUACGGAGAGUGUGAUCACAGUCAUCCGGAACAGCUGGUGCUCUCAUACAUGAUUAUGUGCUGCUUGCCUCAAAGCACGCAUAGAAGUAAUUUAGCUCGUCUGGUAGGCUUGUAUCACUGGGCAGCUUGCGGCUGUGCUUCCCUUUUGUAGUCCGUAAUAGUUUGCAAGCCCUGCCACAUCUGACUAGUUUCGAAGCCAGUGUAGUAGGAUUCAAUCUUAGUCCUGUAUUGACACUUUGCCUGUUUGAUGGUUCAUCGGAGGACAUAGCAGGAUUUCUUAGCGUCCGGGUUAAAAUCCCGCUCCUUGAACGCGGCAGCUCUACCCCUUAGCUCAGUGCGGCUGUUGCCUGUAAUCUGUGGCUUCUUAUUGGGGUAUGUAUGUACGGCUACUGUGGGGAGAAUGUCAUCGAUGCACUUAUUGAUGAAGCCUGUGACUGAUGUGGUAUACUCCUCAAUGCCAUUGAAGAAUCCCAGAGCAUGCUGGUAAAAUGUAUUUAAGUUUCCCUGUAUUAAAGUCACUGCUUCUGGAUGAGCAUUUUCUUGUUUGCUUAUGGCCUUGUACAGCUCGAGUGCGGUCUUAGUGCCAGCAUUGGUUUGUGGUGGUAAAUAGACAGCUACGAAAAAUAUAGAUGACAACUUUCUUGGUAAAUAGUGUGGUCUACAGCUAAUCAUGAGAUACUCCACCUCAGGCGAGCAAAACCUCAAGACUUCCUUAAUAUUUGAUUUUGUGCACCAGCUGUUAUUGACAAAUAGACACAGACCGCCACCUCUUGUCUUACCGGAGGCAGCUGUUCUAUCUUGCAGAUGGGUCGAAAAUCCAGCCAGCUGUAUGUUAUCCAUGUCGUCGUUCAGCCACAACUCGGUGAAGCAUAAGAUAUUAUAGUUUUUAAUGUCCCGUUGGUAGGAUAGUCUUGAUCGGAGCUCAUCCAGUUUAUUAUCUAAUGAUUGCACGUUGGCUAAUAGGACGGAUGGUAGAGGCGGAUUACCCACUUGCCGUCGGACCCUUACAAGACACCCCGACCUAUGUCCCCUAUAUCUCUGUCUCUUCUUCAUGCGAAUGACAGGGAUUUGGGCCUUGUCCGGUGUCUGAAGUAAAUCCUUGGCUUUUGACUCAUUAAAGAAAAAAAUCUUUCUCCGUGGAGAACAAUCCACGUCCCGGGUGGCUCACAUCUUUGGAAAAUGUUCAUCCCUUUCUCAGACACCGCCUAGCAUGUACGUCCUGGAUGACUGGAAGCUCACCCCCAGUGAUGCGCUGGGCCAUCCGCACCACCCAAUUAGCAAGGAACUGCUAGUCUCAACAGUCUGCUCAUGUCAGGACUGAGUACCGUAUACCCCGUACAGCAACUGGAGAUUGUAAGGAUGGGGACCAUAUUAUACAUUUUUUGGGGCAGUGAGGAGAGGAAUUUUGAGAUUCUCUGUAUUGUACUGCUGCCUUCCAUUGAAGGCCGAAAUAAGCACAUCUAUACAUAAGCAGACAGUUGGUUAACACUGCCUGCUAAACCAAUUCAUGCAUUAUUCAAGAGUCAUCCACUCAGCUAUUUGCUACGUGAUUUGCAGUGCA
RNAcentral lists this long non-coding RNA (2955 nucleotides) under Oncorhynchus kisutch (coho salmon). Its description in RNAcentral is "lncRNA (ENSOKIG00005005693.1)". Lineage: Eukaryota; Metazoa; Chordata; Actinopteri; Salmoniformes; Salmonidae. The record is from RNAcentral.